This 335-nucleotide unclassified non-coding RNA is filed under the name soil metagenome. Its description in RNAcentral is "partial contains 5.8S ribosomal RNA, internal transcribed spacer 2, and large subunit ribosomal RNA". The stretch from base 1 to 120 matches the Rfam family "5.8S ribosomal RNA", at positions 35 to 154 of the family's 154-position model. The record is from RNAcentral.
GAUGAAGAACGCAGUGAAAUGCGAUAAGUAGUGUGAAUUGCAGAAUUCAGUGAAUCAUCGAAUCUUUGAACGCACAUUGCGCCCUUUGGUAUUCCUUAGGGCAUGCCUGUUCGAGCGUCAUUUAAACCUUCAAGCUCAGCUUGGUGAUGGGUGACUGCCCUCCCCUCGCGGGGGGACUCGCCUCAAAAACAUUGGCGGCCGGUACAUUGGCUUCGAGCGCAGCAGAAACGCGGUCUCGAGCCCGGUGGAUCGGCUCCCAUAAGUCUAUUCUUUUAUUUUGACCUCGGAUCAGGUAGGGAUACCCGCUGAACUUAAGCAUAUCAAUAAGCGGAGGA